GCAACAUGUAGCUCAGCUGGUAGAGGACGAGACUCUUAAUCGCAGGGUCGUGGGUUCGAACCCCACGUUGGGCA
Molecule: non-coding RNA, 74 nt
Organism: Podarcis lilfordi (Lilford's wall lizard)
Lineage: Eukaryota; Metazoa; Chordata; Lepidosauria; Squamata; Lacertidae
Source: the annotation of a GenBank genome assembly